Molecule: transfer RNA, 78 nt
Filed under: Pseudomonadales bacterium
Lineage: Bacteria; Pseudomonadati; Pseudomonadota; Gammaproteobacteria; Pseudomonadales
Also listed under: 2 other names
Description: tRNA-Val
Rfam family: tRNA
About the family: Transfer RNA (tRNA) molecules are approximately 80 nucleotides in length.
Source: RNAcentral
AGGCGCGUAGCUCAGUUGGUUUAGAGCACCACCUUGACAUGGUGGGGGUCGUUGGUUCGAAUCCAAUCGCGCCUACCA